AACGCACCUUGCGCUCCUUGGUAUUCCGAGGAGCAUGCCUGUUUGAGUGUCAUUAAAUUCUCAACUUUGCUUGUCUUUUUGUGGUCGAGCAAAGCUUGGAUUUUGGAGCGUGCUGGCGAAGGUCGGCUCCUCUUUAAAUGCAUUAGCGGAAAGGUCAUAUUUGAACUUUUGCGGUGAAUCGGCGUGAUAAUAACGUUGUUGCGUCGUCGACCCAAAAGCUCUCUGUCCGCUUACAACGGUCUUCGGACGACUUAUCAUGAAACUUGACCUCAAAUCAGGUAGGACUACCCGCUGAACUUAA
RNAcentral lists this ribosomal RNA (301 nucleotides) under uncultured Byssocorticium. Its description in RNAcentral is "eukaryotic LSU rRNA". The stretch from base 1 to 52 matches the Rfam family "5.8S ribosomal RNA", at positions 103 to 154 of the family's 154-position model. The record is from RNAcentral. Lineage: Eukaryota; Fungi; Basidiomycota; Agaricomycetes; Atheliales; Atheliaceae.